Molecule: ribosomal RNA, 385 nt
Filed under: uncultured eukaryote
Lineage: Eukaryota
Description: partial 18S ribosomal RNA
Rfam family: Eukaryotic small subunit ribosomal RNA
Source: RNAcentral
CAAUAGCGUAUAUUAAAGUUGUUGCAGUUAAAAAGCUCGUAGUUGGAUUUCUGUCAAAAGCAAGUAGCCCGCUUUUUAAGUGUUGUGCUUACGUCGUUUUUGACAUUUUUCUGCUUUUCGGUUGAUGUUCUUAAUUGAGCAUUUAAUUUGUGAGCAGAACUUUUACUUUGAGAAAAUUAGAGUGUUCUAAGCAGGCUAUUGCCUUGAAUACUGCAGCAUGGAAUAAUAAUAUAGGAUUUCAAUUCUAUUUUAUUGGUUCUAAGGAUUGAAAUAAUGAUUAAUAGGGACAGUUGGGGGCAUUCGUAUUUAACUGUCAGAGGUGAAAUUCUUAGAUUUGUUAAAGACGAACUACUGCGAAAGCAUUUGCCAAGGAUGUUUUCAUUAA